AUCCGGAGGGUGCAAGCGUUAUCCGGAAUCAUUGGGUUUAAAGGGUCCGUAGGCGGACUAUUAAGUCAGAGGUGAAAUCCCACAGCUCAACUGUGGAACUGCCUUUGAUACUGGUAGUCUUGAGUUAUAUGGAAGUAGAUAGAAUGUGUAGUGUAGCGGUGAAAUGCAUAGAUAUUACACAGAAUACCGAUUGCGAAGGCAGUCUACUACGUAUAUACUGACGCUAAGGGACGAAAGCGUGGGGAGCGAACAGGAUUAGAUACCCUAGUAGUCC
RNAcentral lists this ribosomal RNA (274 nucleotides) under uncultured bacterium. RNAcentral describes it as "partial 16S ribosomal RNA". It matches the Rfam family "Bacterial small subunit ribosomal RNA", at positions 523 to 796 of the family's 1533-position model. The record is from RNAcentral.